ACACCGGCAGCUCUAGUGGUAGCAACUUUUAUUGGGCCUAAAGCGUCCGUAGCCGGUUUAAUAAGUCUCUGGUGAAAUCCUGUAGCUUAACUGUGGGAGUUGCUGGAGAUACUAUUAGACUUGAGACCGGGAGAGGUUGGAGGUACUCCCAGGGUAGAGGUGAAAUUCUGUAAUCCUGGGAGGACCGCCUGUUGCGAAGGCGUCUAACUGGAACGGUUCUGACGGUGAGGGACGAAAGUUAGGGGCGCGAACCGGAUUAGAUACCCGGGUAGUCCUAACUGUAAACGAUGCGGACUUGGUGUUGGGGUGGCUUUGAGCUGCUCCAGUGCCGAAGGGAAGCUGUUAAGUCCGCCGCCUGGGAAGUACGGUCGCAAGACUGAAACUUAAAUGAAUUGGCGGGG
This 401-nucleotide ribosomal RNA is filed under the name uncultured bacterium. RNAcentral's name for it is "partial 16S ribosomal RNA". It matches the Rfam family "Archaeal small subunit ribosomal RNA", at positions 473 to 873 of the family's 1478-position model. The record is from RNAcentral.